Molecule: ribosomal RNA, 497 nt
Filed under: uncultured bacterium
Lineage: Bacteria
Description: partial 16S ribosomal RNA
Rfam family: Bacterial small subunit ribosomal RNA
Source: RNAcentral
GAUGAACGCUGGCGGCGUGCCUAAUACAUGCAAGUCGAGCGAACAGAUGAGGAGCUUGCUCCUCUGACGUUAGCGGCGGACGGGUGAGUAACACGUGGAUAACCUACCUAUAAGACUGGGAUAACUUCGGGAAACCGGAGCUAAUACCGGAUAAUAUAUUGAACCGCAUGGUUCAAUAGUGAAAGACGGUUGUGCGGUCACUUAUAGAUGGAUCCGCGCCGCAUUAGCUAGUUGGUAAGGUAACGGCUUACCAAGGCAACGAUGCGUAGCCGACCGGAGAGGGUGAUCGGCCACACUGGAACUGAGACACGGUCCAUACUCCUACGGGAGGCAGCAGUAGGGAAUCUUCCGCAAUGGGCGAAAGCCUGACGGAGCAACGCCGCGUGAGUGAUGAAGGUCUUCGGAUCGUAAAACUCUGUUAUUAGGGAAGAACCAAUGUGUAAGUAACUAUGCACGUCUUGACGGUACCUAAUCAGAAAGCCACGGCUAACUACGUG